Molecule: long non-coding RNA, 804 nt
Organism: Anopheles merus
Lineage: Eukaryota; Metazoa; Arthropoda; Insecta; Diptera; Culicidae
Exons: 2
Source: RefSeq, a predicted model, not a curated record
AUCACAAGUUCAUGAGAUUCAAUCUUUACGAACAAUUUAUGAAGCACAACACAAGACGUAACUGACCGAGUCUGAUGGAUCGAGCAAACACCCGACAAGCGUAUAACCAACAUGGAUCACAUCCUUAUCCAUCAAUUGACUCGAGAGUACCGAUCCAAAAUAGUGAGAUCAUAAUAGUAUGAAGCUCUAUUAUCAUGACAUGUUAUUCCUCAAUCAGCUCAUUGCAUACAGCGAAUUGCAUAAUGUUUUCUAUUUAUUUAGAGUUAUUUUAAUUUCCAGGAUCCUUUCCACUCUAAAAAGGACAAUCGUAGAAGAAGAUCAAAUCCCUGUCCCACUUGUUAAACGCCAUAUAAUUAGCGGGGAUCUGGCUACUAUCUUGGAACGCCAGGAACGGCUGCGGCUGGCCAUCGAUCCGUACCUCCACCCGUCCCUCGUUGAACACUUCCAGCACAAACAUUAGCGGAUGAAACGGAGACAACAGAUUGGGAGUUUGAACUUCGGCGAGUGGAUAGUUCGUGUAUUGGUUAUCUGCCGUUCGAUACUGUCGCCUUCCAGCACUUUUGGUGUUUCUCCAUCCUCCUAUCGCUGUGCCACGCGCACGCGACACCUUCUCGUAUAUCUGUUAUUUUAUGUACAUUUCCGAAACGAUACGCAAAAAGCAUUCAGUUUGAGAUAGGCUUUAAAUUCGUGGAUAUAAUAAGUAGUAAGUUUUUGCAUUGGCGUUUCUAUUCUUAACUACGGAAAUGGGGGGGGGAAGGGGUGGAAAAAGAAAGACUCGUAUAUACGCGAAAACAAGCACGGCUA